Molecule: long non-coding RNA, 325 nt
Organism: Hypomesus transpacificus
Lineage: Eukaryota; Metazoa; Chordata; Actinopteri; Osmeriformes; Osmeridae
Exons: 3
Source: RefSeq, a predicted model, not a curated record
AGGAUCACGGAUAAGUGUGGAACUUUAGAGACCUUAAAUGUAUCUGAUGCACUCUAUGGACUGAUGGUACGGAUUCUACUCUACGUCAGAGAAAGGCGGGUAACUGCUGCUCCCUCGCGCUGGUAUAACGCUUUUUGCGCCACUGUCGACCGGAGGCAACACGGAGGGGGUGUAAUAACGACGUGGACAGUUUACUGCUAACGGUAGGCUGUUUCGUUGCCCGGUUCCAGACUUUUCAUCUUGCUGGUUCCACAGUUUCAUUCCAAGCAACAGCGCCAAGUUACGCAAAGUAAGACUAAACUGUCCCAGACCACAGCUUAUGUAA